GUAAAAAAUUUCUGUAAAUUUACAGGGAAAUUCAACAGCAAAAUGCUGUUUUCGUGUAAUAACAGUAAGUUGCUGUUUUUUACAGUGCAUUGUGGGUAGACUCGCUCACUUCAGGUCUGUUGUCGAGCAACAACAGAAUGUUACUGUUAUUUAACAGUAUUAUAGCAUAUUUUUCGUUGUGCACGCCAUUUUGGAUUGUCUGCAUGAGGUAGGUCUGCAGCUUUAUCGAUGCUUGUGCUAUUUUUAAAUUACAUAUUACUUUUAAAUAUUGCAUUUUAUCCAGUGAAGCUUUUCAAAAAUAAAUCAGAUUUAAUUUCCUAUUUUAAUCAGGCAAAGCGGGUAUUCUACCAUCACAUCAGUUACACUCACAUCAGAUCACAGGAUUAUUUUGGUGCUUUGGUGCUAUUUUUGUCCUUAUUCCCUUCUCGUGCAUUGUGUAGACAAACAAAUAUUACAGAUAUUAUUAAGAUGUGUGCCACUCCUGCUGACUUUAAGAAGACUAGUAACUCACCUGUGACACCUUGUUUGAUCCUGUUUGCAUCUUUGGCUAUAUUCAUGGCGAGAACCGGUUAAUCCAUACAAGUUUUAUUCACACAAGUCAAUCCAGACACUGUUGGGGUAGAGACAAUUUGGCAUCUGUGGAUACCCAGAGUAAACCCACGCUGACACAGGGAGAACAUGCAAACUUCAAACAGAAAGACCACCUGACCUAGCCAGGGUUUGAAUCGGGGACCUUCUUGCUGUGCCUAUUACUAUCAGGAGAACAUCAAGCUUUAUGUGCCUCAUUCUGGAGGCCACAGUAUUUGAAACAUGUUUAAUGUGUGACAAACUGAGAACAUUUAAUAUCAGACUUUACACGGACACUAAAUUAAUUUGUGAUUUUCAGUUUACCUAAACAUUAGUGGCCCUCAAUUACUAUAAAUUUAAUUGUAUCAUGACAAUGGCCUCUGAAAAUAGCAUAAUGUUAGGUUUCUAUCUUGAAGGACAUGGCACUUUGUGUCUUUGCCAGUGCUUGCAUAUUCUUCUCACUGCCUUUUCUACACUUAGCUCUACAGAUAUUAAGGAUUAUACAUUAAUAUGUACAUUCAUUUGGUCCAGGUGAUACUCAGGGACAAUGGAUUAAACAAUGGAUGAUCAGCCUGAAAGCCAAAAGAAUCUGCAAGGGUGUUCAGCCAACAUGUCUCACUCGACUUGCUGAAUUGUUUUCUUUGUAUAACAUCUUCAACUUGCAAAAAGUGAGAGCAGCAUCCACACUGGAAGUCCUUUAAAGACGCUUCAUUAAAAUCAUACCGGGAACCAAGGCUGCAAAGGGAAAAGUGACCUCUAAAACAGGAAAACUGCAAAAGAAGACCAUCAACAGUCAGUCUCAAACUAUCAAAUCUUUUAAAAAGACUUAUGGACUUUGAGUGGUACUUCAUUUAAAAUGUAGCUGACACUUCCCACCAAUACAGUUUUUUUUUAAAAUAUGGUGGGCUGCAGUGAUGGCAGGUGACUUUUCUGAGGAGGGACGAAUGCAUAUCUAGCCAAAACAUUGUCAUGUGUGUGGUUCGUCAUUUCAAGAUGUGCGUUCGGCACGUCAUGUGAACCUGUGCAUCGCGUGUCAUGUCAAAAUAUGUGCCUGCUCCAGACACUUUGAAGGGGAUUAUGAUAAAGAGAUGCUCACUUUUGCCAUACUAGCUUAAUCUCAUGUGUAAUCAGAGUUUAGUGUUAAAUGAGUGUCUUGCGAGUAUCAUGUAAAUGUCUUUUUUAUUCUUUAUCAUAUUCAAAGC
Misgurnus anguillicaudatus (oriental weatherfish) is the source of this 1769-nucleotide non-coding RNA. NCBI's taxonomy places the organism in Eukaryota, Metazoa, Chordata, Actinopteri, Cypriniformes, Cobitidae. The record is from RefSeq and is a predicted model, not a curated record.